This 253-nucleotide ribosomal RNA is filed under the name uncultured bacterium. Its description in RNAcentral is "partial 16S ribosomal RNA". It matches the Rfam family "Bacterial small subunit ribosomal RNA", at positions 524 to 776 of the family's 1533-position model. The record is from RNAcentral.
UACGGAGGGGGCCAGCGUUGUUCGGAAUUAUUGGGCGUAAAGGGCGCGUAGGCGGCCAUUCAAGUCGGACGUGAAAUCCCUCGGCUCAACCGGGGAACUGCGUCCGAUACUGUCUGGCUCGAGUCCUGGAGAGGGUAGUGGAAUUCCCAGUGUAGCGGUGAAAUGCGUAGAUAUCGUAAGGAAGACCAGUGGCGAAGGCGGGUCUCUGGACAGUUCCUGACGCUGAGGCACGAAGGCCAGGGGAGCAAACGGG